GAGUUUACAUGAACAUUCAUUAGUUCCCUGAUAAGUGCACGCUCCUCAAAUCGCUACUUGGAUUAUUUUGAAAAGACUGGAUGAGAGAGCUGAAGUCACUGGUACAGUAGCUGAUCAUUGUAUGAACUGGACAUACAUGGAGGCUGUUCUCAUCCAGAGACAAUACAUAUCUCAGACACUCACCUAAUUUUGCAUUGCUUCAUUCCAUGCUUACUUUAACACAACUUUCCUUGUCUUUUCUAUUUGAGUUAAAUUCAUAAAGCAAUUACUUCUGUACUUGUCAUAGUAACAUUUAAUUAAUAUAAUAUUUGUGAUCUACAAUAUCGUUUUUUUUAGUAUAAUUUUAAACUGUAAACAUACUUAAAGAUAACAUGUUAUUUGUUAACCUGCAUGCCAUGUUACUAUUAAUACACAUCAGAGAACUGUCAGCAUUAAAGAGUGUUGUUAAAUUAUUGAAAUAUUAACUUUAAUGAAUCUCAGAGGAUAUUAAUUUCGGUAAGCGACAGGAGAACAGAGUUUGGCUGACAAAGAAACAUUUGGGUUUCAUUGUAUGUAAUAGUUGUAAAAUGUGAAAAA
Carassius carassius (crucian carp) is the source of this 576-nucleotide long non-coding RNA. RefSeq lists it as uncharacterized. The record is from RefSeq and is a predicted model, not a curated record. The transcript is spliced from 2 exons. NCBI's taxonomy places the organism in Eukaryota, Metazoa, Chordata, Actinopteri, Cypriniformes, Cyprinidae.